Molecule: ribosomal RNA, 488 nt
Filed under: uncultured bacterium
Lineage: Bacteria
Description: partial 16S ribosomal RNA
Rfam family: Bacterial small subunit ribosomal RNA
Source: RNAcentral
GACGAACGCUGGCGGCGUGCCUAACACAUGCAAGUCGAGCGGAGUUAGUUUGUAGCUUGCUACAAACUAACUUAGCGGCGGACGGGUGAGUGACGCGUGGAUAACCUGCCUUUUACAGGGGGAUAACACAGGGAAACUUGUGCUAAUACCGCAUAACAUAUAGAAGUGGCAUCACUUUUAUAUCAAAGGAGCAAUUCGGUAGAAGAUGGAUCCGCGUCCGAUUAGCUAGUUGGCGGGGUAAAGGCCCACCAAGGCGACGAUCGGUAGCCGAACUGAGAGGUUGAGCGGCCACAUUGGGACUGAGACACGGCCCAGACUCCUACGGGAGGCAGCAGUGGGGAAUAUUGCGCAAUGGGGGAAACCCUGACGCAGCAACGCCGCGUGAAGGAUGAAGGCUUUCGGGUUGUAAACUUCUUUAGUCGGGGACGAAAAAAUGACGGUACCCGAAGAAUAAGCCACGGCUAACUACGUGCCAGCCGCCGCAGUAA